Molecule: long non-coding RNA, 35383 nt
Filed under: Solanum lycopersicum (tomato)
Lineage: Eukaryota; Viridiplantae; Streptophyta; Magnoliopsida; Solanales; Solanaceae
Description: long non-coding RNA (SLYC_LNC001356)
Source: RNAcentral
GAAGUUAAUUUUGUCGCUUACCUACUAAUUGUUCUUGGUAAGAUUUUCCUUUAGUCUCUUUUUUUUUUUUUAAAAAAAAGAGAAAAAUAUUGGUUUAUACAUACACAAGUAGUUUUAUAUUUUUCCUUAUAUUAUAUUUGUUGUAGGAAUGUUUCUAUAUGUUGAUGCCAAGGCUUGUACUAGAGAAUGUGGUAAUCUUGGGUUCGGGAUAUGCCCACGUUCAGAAGGAAGUCCGCUAAAUCCCAUAUGCAUCAAUUGUUGCUCAGGCUAUAAGGGUUGUAAUUAUUAUAAUUCUUUCGGAAAAUUUAUUUGUGAAGGAGAAUCUGAUCCAAAAAGGCCAAAUGCUUGCACCUUUAAUUGUGAUCCAAAUAUUGCCUAUUCAAGAUGUCCCCGUUCACAAGGAAAAUCGUUAAUUUAUCCCACCGGAUGUACCACAUGUUGCACAGGGUACAAGGGUUGCUAUUAUUUUGGUAAAGAUGGAAAGUUUGUAUGUGAAGGAGAGAGUGAUGAACCCAAGGCAAAUAUGUACCCUGUAAUGUGACUCUAGACUUGUCCAUCUUCUGGAUUGCCCAAAAUUAAGUAAUUAAUGUAUGAAAUAAAAGGAUGCACACUUAUAUAAUGACAUGCUAAUCAUUAUAAUGUGGGCAUCAAAGUUGUGUGUUAUGUGUAAUUACUAAUUAUCUGAAUAAGAGAAAUAGAUUAUCCCUAUUUCUUAUCCUAAAAAUGAAUGUCAAGUGUCCUUACAAUUCUCUAAUGAAUCAGAUACAUUGAAUAAACUAAAUCCAUAUAUAGAUAUAAAUAUUAUUCAUAUACUCAAUUAAUAUCAAUUGGGUUAGCAAAACGAAUCUAGUCUAGGUGUGUUUUGCUAAUUAUUGGGGGAUAAUGCAGAGAAAAACCUACGUUAUCAAUAAUUCAGAUAGAAAACUUUUAAUAUAGUGAGAUAAUUGUUUUGAUCCUUUGAUAUAUCUAAAACCAUGCAUGAUAUUAGGAAAAUAGAUAGAGAAAUAAUUUGUACGAUCUUUAAUUGUUGAGUAUGUGAACAAUUUAAUUCAAGAAGCUAGGAAUAUAAAUAUUGAGAGUUUAUGAUUAUUAUUUUUGAUGUUUAAUGAAGUUUUUUUAAUUUCACAUAGAAGUAUUCAAAUUUGGAUACUUCCGCUAACAUAAAAUCCUUCAUAGAUUUUUGUUUCUAUGCUGUAGGUUAUGGUUUUUACACUAUUCGUAGUAAACUCUUAAUAGCGAAUGAUAUGUAUUGGGUAGUGUUGUAAACCCUUCUAUAUGCUUAAUUGUGUGUUUGCAUGUUGUGAUUAUAUAAUUGUGAUGAAAUAAGCAUGAUGAAGCUAUUGAAUCUGAAAUCUUGAAAAAGAAACCCUAAUCUACUUUGUUAAUGAUGAUGCCUUAGUGUAAAAGAAGGCUUGAUGAACGAAAGUAGUGAGAUUAGGGGAUCGGGUGCCACGUUCCGGUACCAGGAUAGAAUAUAUAUGGAUCGGGUGCCACGUUCCGGUACUAGGAUAGUAUAUGAGGAUCGGAGUGUCACGUUCCGACACUAGGAUAGUAUAUGGAUCGGGUGCCACGUUCCGGUACCAGGAUAGAAUAUGGAUCGGGUGUCACGUUCCGACACCAGGAUAGAAUGAGGAUCGGAGUGUCACGUUCCGACACCAGGAUAGUAUAUGAGGAGCGGAGUGUCACGUACCGACACGAGAGGAAUAAAGAUAAUGAAUCUUGAAAGAUGUUAAUAUACUCAAUCUAAUGAACCUAAUUCCCAAAUGAGUAUGAUGAGGAGGCGUGAGUCCUCGUUGAUGAGCUUGGUGUUGUGACCAAGGGUUAUGGUAAUUGUAAAUGCCGCAUGUUGAGUAUUGUAGUUGAUUUUAUGAUAUUAUCUGAUAUAUACUGUUUUCUAUUUUGAGUUGGCCGAUGAUACCUACUCAGUACCUGUGUUUGUACUGACCCCCUACUUUUAUGUUUUCUUCUUUGUUAUUUGUGGAGUGCAGCAAACGUGCCAUCGUCUUCAACUCAACCGCAACUCUAGCCAGUCUUCAUUACUCCGGAUUUCAGGGUGAGCUAAUGCUUCUAGCUUGGACUGGAUCUUCCUCUUCAUGUCUUGAUGCCUUGAAGUUCCGGCAUGGACUAGCUUUUUAUGUAUUUUAGCUUCUUAGAUACUCUUAGCUUUAGUAAUUUGAAGUAGAUGUUCUUGUGAUGAUGACUUCCAGAUUUUGGGGAUAAUAAUAGUUGUUGAGUUUUUAGAAGUUAUUGAAUUGGUUUUUAUUAAUGAGUUUAAGUCUUCCGCAUUACUUUCUAUUGAUAUUAUAUUGAAAUGUUAAGGUUUAGAUUGAUUGGUUCGCUCACAUAAGAGGGUAAGUGUGGGUGCCAGUCGCGGCCCGAUUUGGGUCGUGACAAACUUGGUAUCAGAGCAUUAGGUUCGUUGGUCUCAUCACACAAGAACGAGUCUUGUAGAGUCUUAAGGAACGGUAGGGGGACGCCUUUACUUUUCCUUGAGAGGCUAUAAGACUUUAGGAAAAUUCAUUCUUUCUUUCUUUCUUUCGUGCUAUUACUUGGGUCCAAUUGGUAUCUAGGUGAUACAAAUUGGUAUCUGACCAUCUUUACUCUAUUUCGCAGAUGGUUAGAACUAGAGCAACAACCGCGCCAACACCAACACCGGCGGGACAGGGUGCGUCUGAGCCAGCCACUUGGGCUGUAGCUAGAGGAAGAGUAGCGGCAAGAGGCCGUGGGAGAGGUCGUGGGAGGACGUUCUCUAGAGGAAGAGGACAAGCACCAAGCCCAUCUGGUACUAGGGCGGUGACUCCUCCACCGACUGAGGAAGUAGUAAGAUAAGGGGAGGAUGGGGAGAAUGAACAAGUACAGAAUGAGGAAUUGCCACCCCAACCUACCCCAGAAAUGAUAAAUCAGGUUCUUGCUUAUCUUAGUGGAUUAUCUAAUCAAGGUCAAACACCUCCAGUGUUUUCUGCACCAAAACCUCCGGUUCCGAAAGUACAACAGACAACUGCUGCGGCUCCCCGCAUGGAUGCCUCAUUGGAAAUAUGCACAUUUCCUCGUCUGACUACAGGGCCUAUAAUGACAAACGAUCAACAUGAACUUUUCAGGAUAGACACUCCUCAACCCAAACAAAACAAAAGAAAAGGUAAAAAGAAUCCAUAAUAUGGAUGUUCACAAACAAGUUAGUUUCCUUGCUUACCUACUACUUGUUCUUGGUAAGAUUUCCCUUUCUCUAAUUUUCUUAUCUUUAGUUUCUUUGUUGUGACAUAAACUACAAGUGUUAGCUAUGUUUUUUUCAUUUCACAGCUUUCUCUUUAUUAUAUUUGUUUGUAGGAUUAUUGCUACUUGUAAGCGCGGUGGAACAUGUUGAUGCCAAUUCUUGUACUAAGGAAUGUGGUCAUCUUGGGUUUGGGAUAUGCCCACGUUCACAAGGAAGUCCGCAAAAUCCCAUAUGCACAAACUGUUGUGCAGGUUUUAAAGGUUGCAAUUAUUAUAGUGCUCAUGGAACUUUUAUUUGUGAAGGACAAUCUGACCCUAGAAAACCAAAAGCUUGCCCUCGAAAUUGUGAUCCACAUAUUGCCUAUUCAAAGUGUUGCACGGGAUACAAAGGUUGCUACUAUUUCGGUAAAGAUGGCAAGUUUGUUUGUGAAGGAGAGAGUGAUGAACCCAAGGUAUGUAUGUACCAUGGAAUGUGACCCUAGAGUUGCAUACAUGAUUUGUCCAUAUUCUGGAUUGGCCAAACUUAGCCAUGUUUGUGUUAAUUGUUGCACUGCAGGGGACGGUUGCAAACUCUAUGGAUAUGAUGGAUCUUUAAUUUGUACUGGAGAGCCUCAGAGCGAUAUAUCUACAGCAUAAGGCAUGCAUCAUCAAUAAUAUGUGUUGUACUUUUUAAUUUAUAAUGUAUGAAAUAAAAGGAUGCACACGUGUACAAUGACAUGCUAAUCACUAUAAUGUGGGCAUUAAAGUUGUGUUAUGUGUAACUACUUAUUAUUUGAAUAAAAGAAAAAGAUCAUCCAUAAUUAUAUUGAGGACUUGGCUCCUCUCUAUGGGUGAUCUCCUUUGGUCUUAUCCUUAGUAAAUGACAUGUGUCUUUAUAAUUGUUGGAUUUUUAAAAGGCGUGAAUGGAAAAUGAAGAGUUGCAACUUUUGUGAAGAGUUGUGAUUUUUAUGAAAUGUUGCGACUUUCAUGAAAUGUUGUGACUUUUAUGAAAAGUUGUGACUUUUAUGGAAAGUUGUGACUUUUUUAAAGGUGACGACCUUUCUGAAAGAUUGUGACUUUUCCAAAAGUUUGUGAGCUUUCCGGUAAGACAUAAGAAGAAUCUUUUCGCACUAUCCUUUGUUUUCUAUAAAUUGAGGGAUUUCUCUCAUUUUAGAUAGAAUUUAUGGACUUCUUCUUCAACUACUAAAUAUAGUAUUCUAAGUGUACUUUACUGCCGUUGAGUGGUUCGCUGACACCGGAGUUUUUGGUAUCUAUACUCUGGAUUGAGAUCAUUUUACUCUGGAAGGUCAUAUUCCAAAUCAAAUCUCGGAUACUAUAGGGGAAUAAUUUCCUUAAGGGGACACUGUGAAUUCAGUGGACUUGAUCUUUUUCCUAUUAAAAAUUUUUAAGAUUCUGGUACAUGUUUGUUUUACAAACUUUAGAUUUGUGAAUUAAUUUCAGUUCUUCUAUUCUUUGUUCUUCACUAGUUCAUUAAACUCGGUAACUUCGUGUUUCUGCAAAGUUUGUUGGAAUCAGUAAGAUUCUUUAGACACAUAUUAACAACAAUUCUUCUUUAAGAAAAAUAUUUCGUAUAUUUUUUUAAAAAUCUAUUUCUGAUUCUAGUUUCGCUAGUAGUUUUAAUUUUCUAGUUGUGAAAAUGUUCUUAAACUUUGUUUUCUUACAAAGAUGUUCAAAGUUUUGUUCUAAGUAUGUUUGGAAUACAAUAUGAACAACAAUAAUAUUUUACGAAAUCAGAUCUAUAAAUUUAUUUACUUUUAAACAAACUACCUUUGAGAUUAGGUAAGUUAUAUCAAAGUGAAUGAAUUUAUAAUUUUUCACACACUAAGAAUACAAUUUUAAAGUUAUUGAUUCAGGUAUUCUGAUAAUUUUUCAUUAUUGAGCUACUUUUAUUAUUUGUCCAUUUUGUCGUGAAUAGGGGUGUACAUGAUCUGAUUGAUUUGGAUUUCAAGUAUCAAAUUAUUAUUCGUGUAAAAAAUUUGAAUUUAUAAAAAAUCAAGGGAAAAUACUCAAGUACCCCCUCAACCUAUGCCCGAAAUCCCAGAGACACACUAAUACUAUACUAAGGUCCUAUUACCCCCCUGAACUUAUUUUAUAUGUAAUUUUCUACCCCUUUUUAGCCUACGUGGCACUAGUUCGAAAAAAAAGUCAACCAUCGUUAGGCCCACAAGAUAGUGCCACGUAAGCUAAAAAGGGGUAAAAAAUUAUUAAUAAAAUAAGUUCAGGGGGGGUAAUAGGACCUUAGUAUAGUAUAAGUGUGUCUUUGAAAUUUCGGGCAUAGGUUGAGGUGGUACUUGGACAUUAUCCCAAAAAUCAAACUAAACUAAUAAAAUUCGGGGUUUUCAACCUCGAGUUGGUUCAAAUUUUUCAAAUAUCAAAACUAACCAUUGUGUCAAAUUUUUAAAUUUAUAAAUCAAGCCAAACUAAUAAACCUCAGAUUUUUCGGUAAAGGUUGCAUACAAACAUAUAAUUAACUUGUGAUCCAAAUAUUUCUUUAGUCCAACAAAAAUAUAAUUAUGUAAAGUGUUUUUUUAAAAAAAAAAUUACAUAAAAUAUUAUAAAGUCGUAAUGAAAAUAGUCAUAAUUUAAAAGCACUAAAUCAUGCUAAAAUAAGUUUAAUAAAUAUUAGUUACAUUACUAAAUAUUUAAGGAAAAUUAAAAUUAGUUUAUAAAUUUUAAUUGUCUAAACCGAUGUAAAACUAAAGAACAAAUAUUCAAUAUUAUUGUCAUUCUUACUCCGUUCGUCCGGUAUUGUUUGUGAUAUUUUGCUUUUGCAAAGUCAAUUUGAAUAAUUUUUAAGUUAAAUUAGAUCACAUUAAUUCGAUAUUUCAAACAAAAAAUUAGAUAUUCUAAAAGUAUAUGAAAGUAUUAUAAAUUGCAAUUUUUUGCAUAUUUAUAUGAUGAAAAUUACAUCUUAAAAUGUUAGUUAAAGUUUUUAUAAUUUGACUCUAAAAAUAGAAAUCAUGACAAACAAUACAAGACAUAGGAAGUAGUGUUGAUUUGAUUUUCUUUUUGCAUUAAUAUAAAUUUGAUUUUGAUUUAAGUUUUAUUAUAAUUAUCAACAGACUAUAAUUUUAUUGGACAAUUCCGAAUUCUAAGUUUUGAACUUGAAUUAAUAUAUUAAAAGAUAAAAAUUAUAGAAUAGUAUAAGAAAUAUUUUAAAAUGGUAUCAAAGUAAAUAUUUUAUGUAUAAAAUAAAAUUUUAAGAGAAAAGGCAUAAAGUGACACCUGAAGUUGUCUCCAAUUUUUAAAAAGACAUCUUAAUUAUGUAGAUGUCCUAUUACCCCCCUAAACUAUUCCGAACAUAUAUUAUUACAUCGUUUUUGGAUCAAUUCCAGAUUUUAAAUGGCAAGUGUAAUCACACACCAAUCAUUGUGUGACACGUGUUAAUUCAAUUUGAAAUAUUAUUUUUUUUCAUUUUAAGAUUUUUUUAUUUCUUUUUCUUACUUUUUGACUUAUUUUAGUUUUAUUAUUUUUAUUUUAAUUUCAUUUUAAUUUUUAAUUCAAAUCUUCUAUCCCAACUUUCAAGCUCCCUCCAUUUUCUUUCUUUAUUUCUUCUUCAUCACCUCUUAUCUUCACCUAACCCCACAACCAUAUCAAGUUGAGCUCCUCUAUUUUCUUUCUCUUUUCUUCUUCUUAUUUGGUUAAAUUUCUUACUUUUUAAAAUUAUACUAUUUUUUAGACUUUGUUGAGUUAUUGAUAACAAAAUUAUUAUUUUUCUAAGAAAGAUCAAAAUUUUGUAGGUAUCAUCAUUUAAUUUAUCUCAUUUCCAUAUAAAUUCAAAACUAGAAAUGAUAAUUUUGAAAUCAUAAGAAUUCUCCGUAAAUCGAAAAAGUUUAAUUAGAAUUUGGAUAAAAAAAACUAAUUAAUGUCUACUAAUCUUGAAAUCUAAUGGGUUUAUCACAUUUUUUAAAAUGUAUUAAAAUAUUUAGAUAUAAUUUUAAAAGUAAAGAGAGUUAAACUAAUAGUAGAAUAAAAGAGAGAUGGAGUCAUGGUAAAAAUUGACAUUGAAAGUGAUAGGUUAAUGAAGAUGACAAUGAAUUAUUGAAGAAGAAGGAAGAAAAAAAAAGAAAAAAAUAAUAAGGAGAAAGUUUUUUUUAAAAAAAAUUCUUGUAAAAAUAAAAUUAUAUUCAUUUUUUUUAGUUUGUUCACGCUCUUUGAGGAGUGUAUACACUCGUCAUGCCAGGUAGACAAAAAAUGAUGUAAUAAUAUCAGUUCAGAAUUGUUUGAGGGGGUAAUAGGACACUUGCAUAGUUUAGGUGUCUUUUUGAAAAUUCGGAAUAACUUUAGGUGUUUAUGUCUUUUCUCAAAUUUUAAAAAUACAUGUACAAUGAUGCAUGCAAUUUUUUCCACGUAUAUCUUUUUAUGUGUGUGUUUUGUCGUAUAUGUUUACGAGAAAGGAAAAGCAAAUAAUUAAUUAAGAGUUAAGUAUUGAAAAACCUCUAGAACUUGACUGACUUUAUUAUUUCGGUCCCAAACCAUUGCUAGCCUUCACACUCUUCUGUUUGACUAACUAAACUUAUAUACGCCCCUAAGUUGCCACAUGACACAACAAAUAAUCUCAAACUCAUGUAGGAGCAUGAAACUUUUAAUAAAAAGUCAAGAGAAGUGUUGAAAAAACUCUAAACUUAAUGAGAAUUUAGGAGUGUACGUAUUUCACUCAUAUUGCAAGAUCGAAUUUAAGCUUGGUUAGUCAAGUAAAAGAGUGUUUAUAAGUUUGUCGACAGAUUGAAAAUAAAACUAAUAACUCGCGCCAAAUUAAUCUACUACCAUUCAUAGAAAGAUUUAUAUUUAGGUUGUGUUUGGUAUCAAGGAAAUGUUUUCCUAGAAUAUAAUUUCCCGGAUAACAAGUAGAUUUUUGACUUAUUUUCUCAUUUUUGGUUGGUGAUAGAAAAUAUUUUCUGGAAAAUAUUUUUAGAGUUUGAUUUAUCAAUGAAAAAUAUUUUUGAGAAACAUCUUUUUUGUCUACCAUAGUAGAAAAUAAUUUAUAAAUUGAAAAUAUUUUUUAAAUACAAACUUAAUUUUUUUUUUGAGUGUGGGGUUAGGGGUUGAGGGUCGAGGAUAGGGGUGAAUUUUUAUUUUUUUUAGAAGUUGAGAAUAUUUUUGAAAAAACAAACUUAAAUUUUUUUUGGUGGGGGGGGGGGGGGUGAGGGGAAGGAGGAGGGGUAGAGGUGAAAAAAUGAAAUUUUGAAUAUUGAAAAUAAUUUUUAAAAGAAAAUGCAAUUUUUUUUUGGGGGGGGGGGGGGAGGGGUGUGUGUCGAGGAUCGGGGUGAAAAGAAUAAAAAAUUGAAGUAGAAAAUAUUUGUUAAAAAUAAACUUAAAUUUAUUUUGUUAUCGGGUUAUCGGUUCUGAACGGUUUGACUUUUUUCUAACGGGUUAACCAAUAACCCGAUAGUAAAUUUAAUAAUUAAUUUUAUAUCAUUUUGUAUAUUAAGUCCUUGACUUAGAGUUUGAUUUCCUACUUUUAUUUCUGAUUGUCUCAAAACUUGGUUAUUCUACAAUGUAAAAGUGUUUGCUUUUGAGCAAUAUAUAUCUUGUGAACUCAUGUGCAUGAUUCAUUUGGUUUGUCACAUUGUUUCUAAGUUAUUUCAAUAUUUUUUUUUUGUCAAAUCUUAAUGGUUUAUAAACCCAUAACCAAACCAAUAGCGAUCAAUAAUUGAUAAGUGCUAUAUCUUAAUUGUUCUAUAACAAUUUAGCAUCUCUACAAACCGAUACCCAAUAAGCUAAACCAAUUAAUUUCAAAAUUAAACCGAAUCGACUGAUACGCAACCCUAAUCCCACCCGUUGUACGGGAUGCGAGAGUUGCUACUAUUUAAGCAAAAAUGGCAAGUUUGUUUGUGAAGAGCUACAGAUUAUUGAACCCAAGGCAUGUACCCUGAAAUGUGACCCUAAAGUUAUUUACAUGACUCGUCCAUCUUCUUGGUUAGCCAGACAUUAUGAAGUUUGCGUUGAUUAUUGCACUGCAGGAGAGGAUUGCAAACUAUAUGGAUAUGAAUCUUUAGCUUGUACUAAUAUAAAUGAAUUGUUGAAGCGUGACUUGCACAAAAAGAUAUUAAAAAUCAUUAACCAAUGUUUUAUCGAAAAAAGGGUGAUUUUCGAAAAGAGUUUGUUUUUAGACUUUUAGGAGUCGCCACUUAAUUUUUAAGAAAAAUCAAGAAAACUUUUAUUUUCAAAAGACUUAAUAGAAAAAUCGAUUGAAAAUAAUUAAAGGGGUUCGGGAUUCCUAUUAGCGUCUUAGGAAGGUGUUUAAGGCACCUAAGACACUCCGUUAAAUACGGUUUUCCAACGACUAACUUAUUUGACUAUUUGCUUUAACUUUUACAAAUCGAAGUUUAAACUCUACAAAAGUUUCUUAGCCGAACUUUACAAAUUUGAAACAUUUGUUAUCUAUCUUGUAAUCUGUGAAUCUAUUCCAAAGUCAAAUUUCUUUAGAAUUUCAUCCAAACAAGUUACAAGUUUUUCCACGCUUAUCCUUUUAAAAUUCCAUUAAGGUUAAACCUUUUAAACUUUACUCUAAGCAAUUUUCAAACUUAAACAUCCAUCUUUGAUAUUUCAGUUUUUAGUUUUAAUCUUGAUAAAAUAGAAGGCGUUCGGCGGGGUUUGGAGUUUCUAAUCCUAGCCUAUACGACAUUCCAAACAAAAAUAACAUAAACAAAUAAUAAAGAGGGAGAGAGAGAGAGAGAGAUUCGGGUCCAAGUUUCGGAUGCUGUUCGCCUUGACCGAAACUCGAAUCCACCUGCUUUUUGGGUUUUUAACCCAUUCACCUGUCCUAAUCUAAUAUACGAAAUAAAAUGCGAGAAAAGCAAAACAAGAGGGCUUAUGCCCAUUACAAAAACAAAAAUACAAAAAUAUAAAGUAAAGAAAUUUCUAAUCUAUUUCUUCAAGUUUCUCCAAUCUUGGGGACCUGUUCGUCAAUAUCGCAGGUUGAUCGACUCGAUGAAGGAAGUGAGUAGGGCCUCCAUGGCCCAGGAAGAUGCAAGGAUAAAAUGGAGUCCCAAAUGGACUCGAGAGAAAGUUUCCCGUGCAACAAAGUAGAAAUAAAUUAGCAUAUGAACGAUGAUGCAAAUCCGAUAUAUUUAGAAUGAAAAGCAAACAAAUAGAAAAAAUAAAAUAAAAAAAGAAACUUUAUAAGAAAAGCAAAUGAAAUUCAAGUUUUAAAAUCAACCAAAAUUAUUAAACUGACCAAAUCUAAACAGUAGCAACUUAAACUCUUCGUCUAAACCGAUCCUAACACUAAAACUAACAAUAAACAAACGUGAAUCAUCAGAUCUAUGAUAUACAAAGACACUAGCUGACCGUAAACCAAAUGGUGAACGGCAUCUUAAGGAGAAUAACUUGACUGCAUUGUUAUUCGAAGCUUUACAUUCUGUUAAUAUGGCAUGCAAAGAGUUGUUUAAGUUGUCCCUUAAAUCCUCAUGACAAAUCCCAGCAAACAAGAUGACACACCUCGCAAGUUAUAACUAGAACUCGAACCAUAGAUAAACCACAUAAUUGCUACUCCAAGACGAGAAAGAUACAUACAUCGAACGGAAUGUUGAAACCAUUGUUUAGCAUGCUAUCAAAGAGAACUAAAUAGAUGACGUGGGCAUGAAAUCAACACCUAAAGGUAAGAAUUUGCACGAUUUCACGUGACAAACUAGAAACAUAGUAAAUUGUGGUGAUAUACAAAAUUGACAGUAUAUAUGUUUGUAUUCGAAUACUUCGACAUAACACGACCCCAGAAUUAAACAGACAAACAGCAGAGGAGGGGACGACAUCACAUUAUCAAGCCAUAGAUCCUAACAUAGAUAUUACGCUAAUAAACCACAGGAAAAUCUUUAAAUCGCGUUAACUUGAAGUUAGGUUAAUAGAACGAAAUCACAACAGCAAACCAAAUCGAAAACUGCCUUCGACCUCAAAAUAAGUUCGAAACUCCCUCAUCCAUCAUCAACUGUUGGGAGAGAAAAAGGAAACUCAUUCACAUUUCAACAAACACGCAAGAAUACUAUUGUGUCAUAGGAAAAUUUUCAAUUUAAAUGAGAAAGAUAACCAAAACACGUAAAGUCUGCAAUGAGAGCUCUAACGAUGGACAACCAACACGAAGAGAAAAGAAAUCUAGAUAAAGUUUUCAUUUGAAUGAGAUAAAACAAGAACAAAUGGGUUAUAGAUGCGACAAGAAAAACAAACAAAUCUCAGCAAACAUAUUCAAUAAUAUCGACUCAACAGCAACAAAACAACCAGUGGACACCCGGCAAAGGUUAUCCGCCCUCAAACCAUCAUAUUAAGAUCAAGAAAAGAAGGGAGUUGCGUGGAGGGGCGUUUACCUGUCGAGGAGCAGCGACGGGGACGGCGAGAAAAGGGGCGACUGCGACACCGGGAUGAGCUCCGAACUGUUUCGAAGACGAAUCGACUAGUGAAGGAGAUGGAAUCGUGAUUUCAGUUUCCUUAGUUGUCUAACUCCCUCUCUCUUUGGUACUCUUACGAAAAAACGACAGCGAAACGAAACAAAUUCUCAACUUUCCAAAACAGUGCUCGACUAUUCUUAUAUAUUCAAGAACCAGAAAAUUUUUUUCAAACCUUAAAAUCUCUCCAAUACUCAAAACUCUAACGAUUUCAACUCCGAAAAUUCCAACCAAAAAUCGCCAAAGUUCUAACCCCUUUUCUUGAGGACGAAAGGGGUUUAUAUAGGGUUUUCGGAAGAGGGAAGGGCGAGAACGUGACUAGGCCCAUCUGAAUUCAAAAUUUGAAUCCCUCCCAUUAAUGGGGCACCAUCUUUUUUCUGAAAAAUUCGCCCUUUUGGAAACGGAAAAAGGGGAAGGGAUGGCUCCAAUCGUCCUUGAGGGGAGACGUGGAUCGAUCUCGCGCCUCAAGGACGAAGACGCAGGUCUGCUACAGCCGAAUACGGGUCUGCCACCGCCGAAAGCAGGUCUGCUACGAGGCGUACUGGCGAGGAGAGAGGAGAGGAGAGAGAUGCGUGAAGGAGACGCGGCUGCUGGGUUGUCGCGUCUGGUUCUUUCAUUUGUUCUGGGGAUUUUGUGGGUUUCCGUUGGGAUAAACGCGUGAGGGAGAGAGGGAUAGAGACGCGAGGUGUUGGGAGAGGGGGAAGAUUUUUCCGUUUUUUGGAGUACUGCUCCUCUGCGUUUUUCUCUGUUCUUUUCUGCGUUUGCAGCGUUUGGGGAAGAAGGAGAAGGGAUGGGUUUGGGCUGGAGCGGGUAAGGGAGAAAUGGGCUGGAUCGGGGGAUUUAGAAGGAGGGACGUUUGGGCCUGGGGGGAAUGGAUUAUAGGAUUUGGGCCGCUCAUUCUUUGGGCCUGGGGCGGCUGGAAAUUGAGGGGAAAAGGGGUUGGAAAAGGGAUUAAGUGGGCCUGGAAAUUAGGAAUAGGGUGAGGGGUCCAAAUUUGGCUCUUCUAAAUUAAAUGGCCAAAAGAAUCCAUUUUAAAAUAAUAGCCAAUUGAUUUAAAACGAAUUCGGUAUAAAUUUAUUAACGAGCCUAUUUAAAGUAAACUAGUUUGAUAGAAUACAUUCUAAACUUAAGAUAUACAUAUAUACAUAUACAUAUACAUAUAUAUAUAUAUAUAUAUAUAUAUAUAUAUAUAUAUAUAUGUAUAUAUAUAUAUUUUACUCAUAAAAUAUACAAACUAUAUAUACAAUUACGUAAUAUAUAUAUACUUACCUAACGUUAUGAUAAGUAGCAUAAGCUCCGUAUAUUAUAUAUAUUUUUUACUUAUAUAUAUAUAUAUAUAUGCAUAUAUCUAUAUAUGUAUACAUAUAUAUACAUAUAUAUAUAUGUAUACAUAUAUAUACAUAUAUAUAUACUUUUUUUUUGAAUUUUCACAAGAUUUAUAAAACUAAUUAACUUAAAUAAUUUGAAAAACUCACGAAGCUCGAUAAUUAAUUUAUACCGACGUGGGUCAAAAUUGGGUGUCAACAACUGUCCCUCAUUUUACUUGGGUUGAUGCAAACAACUCGAGGAAAAUGAAAUUGACCGAACCAAUUUUGACCAACCCCAUUCAUUUUUCAAAGGAAGGAAUCGACAGAGAGUUUAGGAAUUAUGGCCGAACCCUUGAAAAUGGGUCCCCUACCUAUCUCAGGCUAUAUGAGAAUUCAGGCCACUUGUAGUUCAAUAAGCUUGAUUCACCGCAAGAUUUUGAAAGAAUCAAAUGCCACCUCGAUACCGAAUUAUGAAGGUAUCGAAAUGCUCGAGAAUAGAAUUAGAGAGCGAAUGUUGGAAUACAGCCGAGUUUUCGACAUAGAAUCCGCCUACAUAUCCUUAGACCUUCAGAAUCAGGCUGUGUGUAGUUCGACUCGAUCGGCGGAACAGGAAAUCUAUUCUGCUAGAUAACCUUUGGUUUCGGACAAGUGACAAAUUAACGAGUAUGAAAAGGAGGCUUGUAACCUCUUAGCUAUGAAUGUGGAGCUCUUCACAUCCAUAGGUAAGAACUUACACGGACAUAAUUUCCAAAGCUCUUGGCGCAUUGUCACUCAGAUUGGAAACUGGCUUCCAAUAAGACAAAACUUUUGGAUGCGAGACUGAAACUGACAGACCUAAAGGAAGACCCGCAUGCCUCGAGAGGGGUGGUUCGAUCGUGGUGGAAGUCGCUCCUCUGCUCGCGUCCUAAGAGUUUGAUACUCCUCUUUGGACUGUGUCCCAGUUCGCUGCUAAGAAAAAGUUCCACAUUGUGCUGCAUCCUUUUUGAUGUCGUCCGCACCUGUGGCUUUUUUGAGAAUUCAUCCUUUUGGAUGCUCUCGACAAAGACAUGUAGACACUUCAUUGUUCUCCUCCAUGUUCGACGUCGACUCGAUCGGUCUGACGUCCAGCAAAUAAAGCUUAUACCUUGGGUUUUGCAAUAUCAUCUUUAAUGUAUUCCAUACUUGAUGUCAAAAUAAAUAAAUAAAUGUCGAUGCGAUGUUGAUGCUUCUUUUGUUGUCAUCUUCGAUGCUCUCCAUGAUGUUUAUUUUUAUAAGAAAUAACAUAAUGCAGUCGAGGCCAAUGGAUAAGUAUUGCUCUUUCUUGAUCCAAGUAACAUCCUCUUGCGGGUCAUGAAUAUCUUCCCGCGAUACAUAAAUUCCCGCGAGAUAUGAAUCUUCUCGCGAUGCAUAACUUUCAGCGAAGAAUAAAAUCUUCUUGCGAUGUGCAAAUUUUGACGAGGCAUGAAUUCUUCUCGUCGUGCAUAAAUUUUGACGAGGCAUGAAAUCUUCUCGUCGUGCAUAAUUAAUGACUCGCGAUGCAUGAUUUCCGCUAUGCAUGAAUUUCAGCGAGGCAUAAAUUCUUCUCGCGAUGUAUAAAUUUUGACGAGACAUGAAAUCUUCUCGUCAUGCAUAAUUAUUGACUCGCGAUGCAUGAAUUCCAGCGAGGCAAAAUUCUUCUCGCGAUGUAUAAAUUUUGACGAGGCAUGAAAUCUUCUCGUCAUGCAUAAUUAUUGACUCGCGAUGCAUGAUUUUCAGCGAGGCAUAAAUUCUUCUCGCGAUGUAUAAAUUUUGACGAGGCAUGAAAUCUUCUCGUCAUGCGUAAUUAUUGACUCGCGAUGCAUGAUUUCCGCGAUGCAUGAUCUUCAGCGAGGCAUAAAUUCUUCUCGCGAUGUAUAAAUUUUGACGAGGCAUGAAAUCUUCUCGUCAUGCAUAAUUAUUGACUCGCGAUGCAUGAUUUCCGCGAUGCAUGAUUUUCAGCGAGGCAUAAAUUCCAGCGAGGCAUAAAUUCUUCUCGCGAUGUAUAAAUUUUGACGAGGCAUGAAAUCUUCUCGUCAUGCAUAAUUAUUGACUCGCGGUGCAUGAUUUCCGCGAUGCAUGAUUUUCGCUAUGCAUGAAUUCCCGGGAUGCAUGAUUCCGCUAUGCAUGAUUCCGCGAUGCAUGAUUCUUCAGUGUAUAAAUUUCGCGAUGCAUGAAUAUUUAUAUCGCCCUUGUGAAUAGUAACGGCAAGACGACCUCCAAAUAAUAUAUCGACUUGAUCGAUAAUGAUAAAAUAAUAAUUGCAUAAUUGUCUCUUCUGAGGUACUGUGCGGUCUUGAUCGACAAUAAUCAUCUUGCUUUGAUAACGCAAUGCAAAUAGCGUCUUCUAUAGAAAUCGUGAAAUCUUCGCUGAGAUUUCUGUUUGAUUCACCUUUGAAUCUGGCUGGAUACUUUGUAAAUUUCCCAUUGUUGAGAAUGGUUUGAAAUAAACAAACACAUUAAUAAGCAUCCUGACACAAACGAUAUUCCUGCUUUCGAUAAAAUCCCUGGUUUUGGAGAUAGUUUUCUCCUUCUCCGUAUUCAUCAGUCGGAAGAAUUCCGCCGAUUUCGAAGCGAAGCUAUAAACCUGCAUCCACAGAAAAAUUGUCAGUUUUAAACAUACUGAUCUGUGUCGAUCCCUUCGGUUGUUUGCUCCUUGUCUUGAUGUCUCCGGUUGAUUUCCCGAUUUCCCGACUCUUGAUAGAUAAGAAAAUACCUUAUGCCAAAACAGAUGAAAUAUAAAAGGGAAAUUUUUUAAGAGAAACAAGAGAUUUUUUUUUUUUAAGAAAUAGUAUCUUGAAAAAGUCACUGUCAAGUCAUGUCAUGUCGGGCUUAACGAGCUUCUUUGAGUCUGACGCUUGUCGAAUGAAUUUCAGAGGCAUUCCGGACUUGUAGGGAAGUCCCAUGACAAAAUUUUGAGGCCAUUCUCAAAAUUUCUGUCCCAGUUUAGUAUCUUGCUCCUCCUUCCAUUGUAAUCGCACAGAUCUCGGAAUUUUUGAGAUCUUCUCAAAAAUUCUGUCCUAGUUGCAAAUUCGAAAUGUCUUUAGUUUGAUCCGCUGAAGAGAAGGUUCCUUCUGGAGAAUUUUUGAGUCCCUCUCAAAAAUUGUGUCCCAGUUUCUAUUGUAGAAGGGAGGAAUAGAAUUUACGAGAUAUAUGACCGAGCCCUUGUGGCGCCUACGUAUCCCGUUGAGGCAGGAAUCAGGUCAAACAUAGUUCCCCUUACAGGUUAACAAGAAUAAAUUUUACAAAGAAACCGACCGAGGCCGACAUAGACCGCCUACGUAUCUCAUUCUUGAGAAUUCAGGUCGAACAUAGUUCAAAUCCAAAGAAAUAAUAAAGGGGGGUAAAUGGGGUGACCGAAGCCGACAUAGGCCGCCUACGUAUCUCGCUCUCGAGAAUUCAGGUCAGACGUAGUUCGUUACAAGAGGGGUAAGAGUUCAAAUUCGAACAAAUACAAGCAAACAGAAGAUUACAAGUAAAUGAUGGAAAAUGCAAAACGAACUUCACGCGUAAUAUCUCUUGACAGCAUCUGAGUUGAUAGGCUUGGGCCAUAUAGCGCCAUCCAUCUCUGACAAGACUAAAGCACCUCCAGAUAGUACUUUGCGAACCAUGUAAGGACCUUGCCAGUUUGGUGCGAACUUUCCUUUGUACUCGUCUUGAUGAGGAAAAAUACGCUUAACAACCAACUGACCAACUUCAAAAUUUCUGGCUCUUACUCUUUUGUGAAAAGCGCGAGUCAUUCUUUGUCUAUACAACUGGCCAUGGCAAACAGCAACCAUCCUCUUCUCAUCAAUCAAAGCUAGUUGAUCAAUCCGUUUGCUAACCCACUCAGCAUUACUUAGCUCAGCUUCUUGGAUGAUCCUCAGUGACGGUAUCUCGACUUCAACAGGUACGACUGCUUCUGUUCCGUAUACUAGCAAGUAUGGAGUAGCCCCAGUUGAUGUUCUGACCGUCGUUCGAUAACCCAGUAGAGCAUAUGGCAACAUUUCAUGCCAACCCCGCUGCUUGUCAAUCAUUUUCCUCAGAAUCUUCUUGAUGUUCUUGUUGGCGGCCUCUACAGCUCCGUUCAUUUGAGGGCGAUAAGCAGUGGACCUUCGGUGAAUAAUCUUAAAUUGUUCACAUAUCUCUUUCAUCAGAUGACUGUUGAGAUUUGCACCGUUAUCCGUGAUGAUGGAUUCUGGAACUCCAAAUCGGCAUAUCAGAUUGUUGCGGACAAAGUCGGCCACCACUUUCUUGGUUACCGAUUUGUAAGAGGCUGCUUCCACCCACUUGGUGAAAUAAUCGAUGGCAACCAAAAUGAAUCUGUGUCCAUUAGAAGCGGCUGGCUCUAUAGGACCGAUGACAUCCAUUCCCCAAGCUACAAAUGGCCAAGGUGAACUCAUAGCAUUAAGUUCGUGAGGUGGCACCCGUAUCAAAUCGCCGUGCACUUGACAUUUGUGGCAUUUUUGCACGAAUUUGCAGCAGUCAUCUCCAUAGUCAUCCAGAAAUAACCGGCUCGAAAUACUUUUCUUGCCAAGGUAAGCCCGUUCAUAUGUGUACCACAAACUCCAGCAUGUAUCUGUUCAAUAAGCCUCACGGCUUCAGCAGCAUCCAUGCAUCUCAAAAGACCCAAAUCUGGAGUCCUCCUGUAAAGGACUUCUCCAUUCAAAAAGAAAUUGAGAGCCAUACGACGUAUCGACUUCUUUUGAUUAGAUGUGGCAUCUUCUGGAUAUGUCCCAGACUCCAAGUACCUCUUUAUGUCGAAAUACCAAGGCAAACCAUCUGGUUCUGAUUCAACAUGUGAACAAUGGACUGGAUGUUCCUUCAAGUCUAUAUCCAACGGGUCGAUGUAAUCAGUAUUCGGAUGUUUGAUCAUUGACGCGAUGGUGGCAAGAGCAUCAGCUAAUUCAUUCUGUAUUCUGGGAGUAUGUCUGAACUCGAUCUUGCGAAACCUUUUACACAGAUUUUGCACAUAUUGUACGUAAGGUACAAUCUUCGGGUUCUUCACAGCCCAUUCUCCUGAACCUGAUGAAUCAAGAGGUCUGAAUCUCCAAUAACCAGUAACUCGUAAACAUUCAUGUCAACGGCCAUUUUCAAACCGAGAAUGCAAGCUUCAUACUCAGCCAUGUUGUUUGUGCAGUUGAAUCGUAGUUUAGCCGCUAUAGGAUAGUGCUGACCAGAUUCUGAUACCAAGACUGCUCCAACACCUUUACCCUGGUGAUUCACCGCUCCAUCGAAGAAUAAUCUCCAACCUGGAUAAGCUUCAGAGAUAUCUUCACCCACAAAUGACACUUCUUCAUCGUGAAAAUAUGUCUUGAGAGGUUCAUACUCUUCAUCAACGGGAUUUUCCGCAAGAUGAUCAGCCAAAGCUUGUGCUUUUAUUGCCUUCUGAGUCACGUACACGAUGUCAAACUCACUCAACAGCAUUUGCCAUUUAGCUAACUUCCCGGUCGGCAUCGCUUUCUGGAAAAUAUACUUCAAUGGAUCCAUUCUGGAGAUAAGAUAUGUAGUAUACGACGACAAAUAGUGCCUCAGCUUCUGGGCAAGCCACGUCAGAGCACAACAUGUUCUUUCCAGCAGAGUGUAACGAGACUCGUACGGAGUAAAUUUCUUGCUGAUGUAGUAGAUUGCCCUUUCCUUCUUCCCUGUCUCGUCGUGUUGACCCAGUACACAUCCAAAGGCGUUAUCUGAAACAGACAAAUACAGCAACAAAGGACUCCCUUCUCGCGGAGGAACCAAUACUGGUGGGUUAGACAAGUAGCUCUUGAUAGCGUCGAAAGCGGUCUGGCACUCCUCAGUCCACUUAGUUGGGGCAUCUUUCUUCAGCAACCUGAAGAUAGGCUCACAUACCACCGUCGAUUGUGCUAUAAACCGGCUGAUAUAGUUCAACCUCCCUAAGAAACUCAUCACCUCUCUUCUCGUUUUCGGCGGAGGUAACUCUUGAAUCGCUUUGAUCUUGGAAGGGUCGAGCUCAAUACCUCUUCUGCUGACUAUAAAUCCCAACAACUUCCCAGCUGGGACUCCAAAAGCACACUUGGCGGGAUUGAGCUUCAAGUUGUACCUACGCAAACGUUCAAAGAAUUUUCGCAGGUGUGUCAAAUGAUCCGAACUCUCGCGGGAUUUAAUUAUGACGUCGUCCACGUACACUUCAAUUUCCUUGUGAAUCAUGUCGUGGAAGAUAGUCGUCAUGGCUCUCAUGUAAGUGGCACCGGCGUUUUUGAGCCCAAACGGCAUCACCCUGUAGUGAUAUACCCCCAAGGUGUGAUGAAGGCCGUUUUCUCCGCGUCUUCUUCAUCCAUCAGAAUCUGGUGAUAACCCGCGUAGCAGUCCACAAAUGACUGCAUCUCAUGUUUGGCACAGUUGUCAAUCAGAAUAUGGAUUUGGCAACGGGAAAUUAUCCUUUGGACUAGCCUUGUUGAGAUCUCUGUAAUCAACACAAAUCCUGAUUUUUCCAUCUUUCUUGGCGACCGGAACGACAUUCGCCAACCAGGUGGGAUAUUGCGUUACUUCUACCAACCGAGACUCUAUCUGCUUGGUGAUUUCCUCCUUAAUCUUCAACUCAAUUCAGGCUUGAAUUUCCGAGUCUUUUGCUUCACCGGCUCGAACCCUGGGUUGAUAGGCAGCUUAUGAGAUACGACAUCGGUACUCAGCCCCUGCAUGUCACUGACCUCCCAAACAAACACAUCGCUGUAUUCGGCAAGCAAAUGCACCAGGCUCACCUUCUGAGUUUCAUUCAGGUGAGUGCUGAUCUUAACCUCUUUGACACAUUCUGAAUCUCCCAAAUUCACCGUCUCUGUUUCCUCCAGAUUCGGUUUAUGUUGAUUCUCGAACUGACGAAAUUCUUCUACCACAUAGUCUGGUUCCCCACUUUCUUCGUCGUAGUCGUCAGCCUCGUCGUCAUUUGCCUCAUUUUGCUCGUUUAGCUCAUGACAUGACAUGACAUUGGCAGGUUUGUAACUUACGUUACUGAAAUCAUAAACAGACAAAAUUAGAAAAGUAAAAUAUAACAAGCAAUCGAAUAAACAAAGUCAAAAUAAGGAGGCUUUCAUUUAAAUUGAAUCAAAAAUGCAAAUUUGGGUCAUGGCACAAGGCCGUGUCGCCCUUUAAACAAUCAUAACAAAAUUCAAAAUCAAGAAAAUGCAGAAAUGGUGGGUCUCGGGCCUCUUCCGAACGACCACCGAUUUUGGCAUGCACAAAAUAACUCCAUUCUACCACAGAGUUCGGGGAAUCAGGAUCGGCGUGGACGUCCAAUUUUGCAGCAUCUCCCCUGGUUCAGCAUCACGAAUGCCUGCUGGCUCAGCCUCCUCCUCGAUGACGGCGUUGAUCUCCUUGAACAGGUCACAGAUUCCUUCCCCAUCGACUUAGUCAACCCUUGAUCCUUUCUCCUCUUCAUCUUCAAAUCAUCAUUUGUGGGGAUGUACCCCAAACCAUACUUUGAUCCUAUAGCAAGGACCGGAAUUGGCUCGAUGAUCCCUUGUGCAUUCCUUCCUAAUCCGAAACCUGGUUCGAAUCCGCUCUGCAGCAUUACCGUGGCAAUCAUUUUGUACACGGCCGGCAUGGGAGUCUGUGGUGCCAAGCCCUCAUCGGUGGCAUUUACCAACUCCACUGUGUAGAAAUCCGAAGUUUGCGGCGUCUCGUCCAAGAUCGGCACCUGCUUACCUGAAUGGCUCCUUUCCCCGUGAAUAACUAGUUCUUCAUUUCUCCAUACUAGUUUCAUCACUUGGUGAAGAGUGGAAGGGAUGGCUCCAGCCAUAUGAAUAAAUGGCCUUCCCAAAAGGAGGUUAUAGCUGGUGUCGAUAUCCAACACCUGGAAUUUUGCCUCGAACUCCGCGGGGCCCAUUUGGAUGAUCAAGUUCACCGCUCCUAACGUCUCUCUCUGCACACCAUCAAAUGCUCUCACAUUGACCUGGUUUUUCUCCAACUUUUCGAGGUCAAACCUCAGCUGCUUCAGCGUGGACAAGGGGCAUAUGUUUAGGCCAGAUCCGUCGUCUACCAAAACACGGUUGACGAUCUUUCCGCGGCAUACCACGGUGAUGUGUAGAGCUUUGUUGUGGGCUCUCCCUUCGGAUGGCAACUCAUCAUCGCAGAAGCUGAUACGGUGUCCCUGAAUGACUCGGUGAAUCAUAGCAGCUACAUUGUCGCUGCUUGUGCCUGAGGGCACGUAUGUAUCAUCAAGAGCUUUCAUUAAGGCCUGCCUGUGGGACUGAGAGCUCAUCAGCAGGGCCCACACAGAUAUCUGAGCCGGAGUCUUCUCUAAAUGUUUGACGAUGGAAUAGUCCUUCGGCUGCAUCCUUCUCCAGAACUCUUCUGCUUCCCCCUCGCUUAUCGGCCUCUUAGCAUGGUCCUUCUUCUGUCCUCCGAGAGCAAGCUCAUCAGGAGUGUAGCACCUUCCGGACCUAGUCAUGCCUUGAGCCACGGCCGUUUCUAUCACAAACUUGGGUUUGGGGAGAGUCUUUGAGGGCACCAAGGCAACAGCCUUUGCAGGUGUCAGAAUAACAAACUCCCUCCUUUCCUUGACGCUUAAAGAAGCGACAGCCCUCUCCAAGUCUUCCUGAACAACAGGAGUAAUUCUUUUGGCUUCACGCUCAUCUUCGUCAAUUUCUAUCAUGUUGGCGUUUCCACCCCCAUGAUUUGGCAACGGAUUCGUGUUGACGUUUGGCGCCGCCGGUUGAAGAGAAACUACCUCCUGAUCGAUCAGGUCUUGGAUUUUGUGCUUAAGGUUGAUGCAAUCUUCCUUGUCAUGUCCAACACUGUUGGAAUGAUACGCACACCUUUGAUCCGGCCUGUAGAACUUUGAGUUGACAUCCACGGGUUUGGGCCCCACAGGGUGGAUGUAUCCAUCUGCGACUAGCCUCUCAAAUAGUUUGGUCCGGCUUUCAGCAAGUGUGGUAAAUUUCCUUGAAGGCCUUUUUUCAAAUCUCGGCCGGGGGGGAUCAUAACCGCUUUGCUGAGGGGGAGGGACUUGUUGGUAAUUGCGGGCAUUUGGUCGUGGAGCUUGGGCUCUGGGAUGGGGAUUUAUUUGGUAGUUUGGCAUUGGGGCUUGGUAAUUUGGAUGGGGGUUUUGAUAUGCUGGGGUUUGUAUUUGAUAUGCGGGGAAUGGCGCUUGAUAGCUUGGCUGUACAUUAGCGCAGCUGGGAGCGACAUUCUGGUAGUGGGGAGGGACUUGAUAGGCUUGGGGGUAGUUUGGAAAAUUUUGGGGAAUCGGGGGUGGAUUCUGAUACGACACAAUAUGGGCUUCUGGAUAAGUGGGGCCGGCAUUGUAGUGGCUGGAAUGAUUUAAGUUUGGACGGUAGGCUUGAUGAGGCUGUGAUGGAGGGUAAGGGCGGCCUUGGGGACGUGGUAAGUUUCUGGGGGCCUUUCUUCCCCCGUGUGAGAUAGCGUUAACCUCUUCUCUUUUCUUCCUUACCAGUCCGGAAGACCCAGGUGAUGCAGACACUCGGGCUAUCUUCCCCGACUUCAGGCCAUCUUCAAUAGUCUCACCCACCUUGACUAUCUCGGCGAACUUGGCGCCGAUUAAUAAGAUGACUCUGUCAUAAUACUCGGGCUCCUGCACCCGCACGAACACCUCCACAAUCUCUUUUUCUGUCAUCGGAGGCCUCACCCUUGCCGCCUCUUUCCUCCACCUGUACGCGAACUCUCGAUAGCUUUCUGUGGGCUUCUGCUUCAUCUUCUCCAAGGAGUACCGAUCAGGAACUAUCUCGACGUUAUAUGCGAAUCUGUCAAUGAAAUCCUUAGCCAGUGCACUCCAACUGGACCACUGUCGAGUCUCAUGUGACGUGAACCACUCCAGGGCUUCACCGCACAGGCUCCGGCUGAAUAACCUCAUUAGCAAGGCUUCAUCUUUGCCAACUCCCACGAGUUGGUCACAGUACGCUCUGAGGUGUGCCAUGGGGUUGCCCGCCCCACCGAAGGUAUCAAACUUCGGGAUCUUGAACCCUUCAGGCAGGUUCAAGUCUGGGUGGAUGCAUAGUUCUGCGUAGCUUAACCCGGCACGUCUGGAGUACAUUGCAAUUCCCUCAUUGCCUUCCGGAUCUCUUCCUUUAUGUCUACCUUUGCUUCUUCCCUCGACCUCCACUCUCUUUCUUGCUCCUCAUAGUGGUCCAACUCGGAGCCGUGCACCUCAUGCUCGACUGGGAUUGGGACUUGAAAAGUGGUUCUUUUGGGGAGGGGUGGAGCUAUGGAAGGGCUUGGGAAUUGAAAGCGGCGGGAUUUUGGGUUUGAUUUUGGGGUAAUGGGGCUAUUGGAAUGCUUUGGGGGUGUGGUGGUAUUUGUGGAGGAUUGUCUGGGAGUGGUGAGGGAGUCUGAUAGGAGACUGACGCGUAUUGGGGGUUUUGGGUGGUUAUAUCUAUUCUGGAGGGGUUAUGCACGGGUGUCGAUGGACGGUGCUGAGUAGGGUCCGAGUUGGACGAGGGGAAGUAUGUAGGAGGUCUCGCGUCGAGAAAGUAGGGGCCAAACCCGGGGAGAGAAGUGUCUUGCCUCCGUUGCAUCUCUACCCUCAUGUCAGCUAUUUGCUGCAUCAGCUGCGCAAUAAGCUCAUUCUGCUCUGCCGCGGUGGGCUGAGCCACCACGACGUCUGUGAGGCUGACUUGUUCAUUGUUAUCUCCCAUGUCUGUAUUUGCGUUCGGUUCGGGGAAGGAAUCUGCGGGACCUUUUGAUCUGGUAAAGUAGUAGUGAUCUGCCAGCUUUAUCGACACAGAUCAGUAAGAGGUACCUGAGAGGUAAAAACAACUCAAAGGCAAAUUCGUUAGCGCAUAUUUGAGUACAAAAUACAUAAUAGCCGCACAGCAAACAGAUUAAACACACAAGUCGCUUUGUUUGAGGAUAUCUUGGGAAAUCUGAAUCAUGCGAGCUAUGGUCUUCUUGCAGCUGCUUUGCGACGUCCGUUGAUCUUAUCUUCGUAUCUUCGAAACAUGGAGGAGAAUGAAAAUUUUCUGUGAUAGGGGUCGGGCCGAGAAGGCUGCCUACGUAUCUCACGGGGAGAAUUAAGGCCCAACGUAGUUCGGAUUUUAGGAUGAAAAUUUCCAUUCAUUCUUUCGUUGUGAUUACAAGGGAAUUGAAAAACAACACUGAAAUUUCUAGAAGUCAACAUUUGGCGAUUUCUUGUCUUGUGGCUGCAUCAUUCCCCCUCUUUUUUUCAGACAGUCGAAAAUGGAGGCUUGUAGACGAUUUCUUCUUCAUCAUCCUCCUCAAUCACUUCACGGACGGGGCCACUGUUAUCUGCUCCCCGAUCACGGGCGAGGUGUUCUCCGCCCUUUAGGUUGCUAUGGGUCGCCAACUCCUCGUCGAGCGCGGCGCUUCUGGCCAACAACACAGCAGUCUCAAUAUCUAUCUUCGCCUCUCUCGCCUUUCCUUCGUGUAUCUCCAAAUGAAGCAUGUUCAACCUUUUCCUUAGGCUUUCGGUUUCCAUCUCAACCUCCUUCUUUCUCUUUAUUUGCGACGCCAAAUCUUCAUCCAAGGUCGUGACCGCAGCUUUGUAGAUUGUCGUGGUCAUGUCUACUUUGAGCCCUUCCUCCUUGACCUUCUGAAUCUCUCGAGUGACUCGCUCGAUCUUUCUUCGCAAUUCCUCCUCAGUGGGCUCCGUCUGGACGUUCUUGCCUUUGUCCAUAGCGGUGAUUCAACUUUCCUGAGAUGAUAGAGCGGUAUUUAGGAUUUAUGAUAUGGAUUUUGUGUGAGAAACUUGAGACUUGGGACUUUUGUUCGGACAUUUGUAGUGUUGGCUUCUGUAUACUCUUUGGAAUUUUGGCUAGGAGUGGGUUUACGAUAUCCUCAAUCAAAGCGAUAUAACACAUAAACAUUUAAACAAAUAUAUCGUGUCCUAAACAUGCAUGUGACCCUUUUGUGCCAAGGGUAGGCCUAACGAAUUGAAGGAUGUAUAUGCUUUUUUAAACCCGAUUAUUAUCCCCCACAAUAUUUCAUUAAUAGCAUCCAAAAUGUCUGAUAAACGUAAAACAGAAAAUAGUCCUGAAAAAUAAAUUACAAAACAAAGUACAAAUAAAACUGUCCCACGCAGGGAAUGGUAAAAAUCAUGCCUCCUCUGCUCCUUCGCCAAGUCUGGUCCUCUUGGCGAUGUUGACCUCUUCCCACAUGGCAUAUCUAUUCGCUCAAAGAUGAUCUCUUGCCAAUCGAGCUCCUUCUUGAUGACUGAAUCCCUCUAUCGAUUGAAUCUGUCGCUCCAUGCUAUCAUCUAACUCUGUCAUGCAUUGUCUGGUCCUUCGCAGUUCUUGUUUCAAUCGAGCUAUGACUUUGGCAUCUUCGGAAUGACGACGUUGAUGCUCUAAUUCACUCUUAUCAAAAAUCUCUUGAAGGCGGUGAAGUCGGACUUGAUGUUUGGCUCCAACAUCGGCAAUAAUGUGAGGAACGUUCGAUCCAGGCUCAAUUGUUCCAGCGAGACUCUUUUUCAACCAUUCUUUGUACUCCCUCGAACAUUUUGGACGAAACCUAUCUGGUACAGGCUCACCCAACACUCUUUGAGAUCUCCACAUCCUACGCAUGUCUUCGGAAAAUGCCACUCGCCCAUUCUCGUGGUCAGUUACAAAUUUCCUCAUAUCUGCAAUCUGGGGCAACUCCUGUUUCCCUCCUAGUUGCCUCAGCACUCGACCGGGGGCGUAUGGCCUAGUUCCUCUUAACCCAGCAAAUACCAAAUAAGGGACCUUUUCAGCUCGAACCACCAUAUUCUUAGUUACCACCAAACUAUCUAUCGACCAUUGUACGUCUUCUUCUCUCAACCCUCGAAGCCUCGGAUACCAAAAACUCUCUCCUCCAGUCUUGUUGCAACGAUUGUGGUACAACCACCAGUCAUGACUAUGUAGCUCGUCGGAUCGUCUUAAGGGAUCUGGUUCUUUUGGGUUGUGAGUUUUGAUUAAAUGAUGCAUCAUCCACCACUGUAGUAUCAGAUUACACCCUUGAAAGAAGCGUUCUCCGUUCUGACACUUGUCUAAAGCCCUGUAGAUGUCGGCCAGAAUCAUAGGCGCUAAAGUGUAAUACUUCAUCGAUGUUUUGUAAUCCACUCCAUGAAAAAUGUCAUGAGUAACCAUAAACAUACUAGGAUGAAUAGUGUAUUUUGGCCCUUGGGGAAAAACCAUCGUGCCGAGCAAACAUAUCGCAAAUGCAAGGGGACGCGCCUCUUUCCAUUUUUCUUUCGAGACGAACUCGUCUUCAUGUUUCUCAUAAAACCUUGCACGCCCAAAUCGAUAAUAUAACUUUCUAAAAGGUAUAUUCGGACCAGGGAGUUUGUCCAUCCACUCGGCUUUAACCAAUGACAACUUCUCUUUAAUUUUGGCGAAAUCCCAUGUUAUAGGAUUCAGGAGAUCUGUAUCUGGAUGUCGUUUCCUUUUGUUGCACAUGGCGACGCUUUCAUAACUGGUGAGGAUUUCUUCUAUAGUCGGCGUCAACUCUACUUCCCCGAAUCGAAAAACCAUAUUCUCGCUAUCCCAGAACUUCACCAUCGUUCCAACUAAGCCAGGCCAUGCAUUCAUCUCUAACAACGACGGAAGAUGACCUAUGUGUUUCUGAACGACCCUUUUAUCAUCGUUGUUCAUGAACCUCCACCACACUUUGAGGAAAGGGUCGGGGAUAGUAACCAUUCUUGUCUUCAAAGGUUUGUGUGCCGAAUUAAUCCUACAAAAAAUAGCGAACAAAAUUUAGUCGACCCCCACCCCGUAGACAAUAAAUCAUUUUUUUUAAAAUGCAUAUACAUCCUUCAAUUAACACAUAAGCAUGAUUGUCCAUUUUUGGCAAUUUAGGCCAAAUAGACGCAAGGUGGGCUUCUAAUGGACCCAACACGCCUUGGGCGUUGGGUCGUCUUAGUUCAAAUGCUCUUACGUUUGGGAUUUUGGCUCGGCUCUACGCUAGUUGACUAAGAGUGGCUUUUGAAAGGACCGGGAACCCAAACGGACAAUUUGGGCUGAAACUCGCAACAACCAUUGGACGCCUAACGAACCAAUAAAUUGCCGCUAAUUUCGAAAUAGGGUGAGUAUAAAAAGUUCGGCUGCGGUUCCGCAAACCGUCCUUUAAUAUACUAUAUAUACAUAUUGGAAAUAUGCCAUGAGAUAAAAUGCAAUAUUUCAAUUUAAACAAUAUAAACAGCAAAUUACAAGUUAGUCAAAUAAUUAGUCUUAGGGUUAGAAUCCUCCGUCCCCAGCGGAGUCGCCAUUUCUGUUUUAUCGAAAAAAGGGUGAUUUUCGAAAAGAGUUUGUUUUUAGACUUUUAGGAGUCGCCACUUAAUUUUUAAGAAAAAUCAAGAAAACUUUUAUUUUCAAAAGACUUAAUAGAAAAAUCGAUUGAAAAUAAUUAAAGGAGUUCGGGAUUCCUAUUAGCGUCUUAGGAAGGUGUUUAAGGCACCUAAGACACUCCGUUAAAUACGGUUUUCCAACGACUAACUUAUUUGACUAUUUGCUUUAACUUUUACAAAUCGAAGUUUAAACUCUACAAAAGUUUCUUAGCCGAACUUUACAAAUUUGAAACAUUUGUUAUCUAUCUUGUAAUCUGUGAAUCUAUUCCAAAGUCAAAUUUCUUUAGAAUUUCAUCCAAACAAGUUACAAGUUUUUCCACGCUUAUCCUUUUAAAAUUCCAUUAAGGUUAAACCUUUUAAACUUUACUCUAAGCAAUUUUCAAACUUAAACAUCCAUCUUUGAUAUUUCAGUUUUUAGUUUUAAUCUUGAUAAAAUAGAAGGCGUUCGGCGGGGUUUGGAGUUUCUAAUCCUAGCCUAUACGACAUUCCAAACAAAAAUAACAUAAACAAAUAAUAAAGAGGGAGAGAGAGAGAGAUUCGGGUCCAAGUUUCGGAUGCUGUUCGCCUUGACCGAAACUCGAAUCCACCUGCUUUUUGGGUUUUUAACCCAUUCACCUGUCCUAAUCUAAUAUACGAAAUAAAAUGCGAGAAAAGCAAAACAAGAGGGCUUAUGCCCAUUACAAAAACAAAAAUACAAAAAUAUAAAGUAAAGAAAUUUCUAAUCUAUUUCUUCAAGUUUCUCCAAUCUUGGGGACCUGUUCGUCAAUAUCGCAGGUUGAUCGACUCGAUGAAGGAAGUGAGUAGGGCCUCCAUGGCCCAGGAAGAUGCAAGGAUAAAAUGGAGUCCCAAAUGGACUCGAGAGAAAGUUUCCCGUGCAACAAAGUAGAAAUAAAUUAGCAUAUGAACGAUGAUGCAAAUCCGAUAUAUUUAGAAUGAAAAGCAAACAAAUAGAAAAAAUAAAAUAAAAAAAGAAACUUUAUAAGAAAAGCAAAUGAAAUUCAAGUUUUAAAAUCAACCAAAAUUAUUAAACUGACCAAAUCUAAACAGUAGCAACUUAAACUCUUCGUCUAAACCGAUCCUAACACUAAAACUAACAAUAAACAAACGUGAAUCAUCAGAUCUAUGAUAUACAAAGACACUAGCUGACCGUAAACCAAAUGGUGAACGGCAUCUUAAGGAGAAUAACUUGACUGCAUUGUUAUUCGAAGCUUUACAUUCUGUUAAUAUGGCAUGCAAAGAGUUGUUUAAGUUGUCCCUUAAAUCCUCAUGACAAAUCCCAGCAAACAAGAUGACACACCUCGCAAGUUAUAACUAGAACUCGAACCAUAGAUAAACCACAUAAUUGCUACUCCAAGACGAGAAAGAUACAUACAUCGAACGGAAUGUUGAAACCAUUGUUUAGCAUGCUAUCAAAGAGAACUAAAUAGAUGACGUGGGCAUGAAAUCAACACCUAAAGGUAAGAAUUUGCACGAUUUCACGUGACAAACUAGAAACAUAGUAAAUUGUGGUGAUAUACAAAAUUGACAGUAUAUAUGUUUGUAUUCGAAUACUUCGACAUAACACGACCCCAGAAUUAAACAGACAAACAGCAGAGGAGGGGACGACAUCACAUUAUCAAGCCAUAGAUCCUAACAUAGAUAUUACGCUAAUAAACCACAGGAAAAUCUUUAAAUCGCGUUAACUUGAAGUUAGGUUAAUAGAAAUUGCCUUCGACCUCAAAAUAAGUUCGAAACUCCAUCAUCCAUCAUCAACUGUUGGGAGAGAAAAAGGAAACUCAUUCACAUUUCAACAAACACGCAAGAAUACUAUUGCGUCAUAGGAAAAUUUUCAAUUUAAAUGAGAAAGAUAACAAAAACACGUAAAGUCUGCAAUGAGAGCUCUAACGAUGGACAACCAACACGAAGAGAAAAGAAAUCUAGAUAAAGUUUUCAUUUGAAUGAGAUAAAACAAGAACAAAUGGGUUAUAGAUGCGACAAGAAAAACAAACAAAUCUCAGCAAACAUAUUCAAUAAUAUCGACCCAACAGCAACAAAACAACCAGUGGACACCCGGCAAAGGUUAUCCGCCCUCAAACCAUCAUAUUAAGAUCAAGAAAAGAAGGGAGUUGCGUGGAGGGGCGUUUACAUGUCGAGGAGCAGCGAUGGGGACGGCGAGAAAAGGGGCGACUGCGACACCGGGAUGAGCUCCGAACUGUUUCGAAGACGAAUCGACAAGCGAAGGAGACGGAAUCGUGAUUUCAGUUUCCUUAGUUGUCUAACUCCCUCUCUCUUUGGUACUCUUACGAAAAAACGACAGCGAAACAAAACAAAUUCUCAACUUUCCAAAACAGUGCUCGACUAUUCUUAUAUAUUCAAGAACCAUAAAAAAAUUUUCAAACCUUAAAAUCUCUCCAAUACUCAAAACUCUAACAAUUUCAACUCCGAAAAUUCCAACCAAAAAUCGCCAAAGUUCUAACCCCUUUUCUUGAGGACGAAAGGGGUUUAUAUAGGGUUUUCGGAAGAGGGAAGGGCGAGAACGUGACUAGGCCCAUCUGAAUUCAAAAUUUGAAUCCCUCCCAUUAAUGGUGCACCAUCUUUUUUCUGAAAAAUUCGCCCUUUUGGAAACGGAAAAAGGGGAAGGGAUGGCUCCAAUCGUCCUUGAGGGGAGACGUGGAUCGAUCUCGCGCCUCAAGGACGAAGACGCAGGUCUGCUACAGCCGAAUACGGGUCUGCCACCGCCGAAAGCAGGUCUGCUACGAGGCGUACUGGCGAGGAGAGAGGAGAGGAGAGAGAUGCGUGAAGGAGACGCGGCUGCUGGGUUGUCGCGUCUGGUUCUUUCAUUUGUUCUGGGGAUUUUGUGGGUUUCCGUUGGGAUAAACGCGUGAGGGAGAGAGGGAUAGAGACGCGAGGUGUUGGGAGAGGGGGAAGAUUUUUCCAUUUUUUGGAGUACUGCUCCUCUGCGUUUUUCUCUGUUCUUUUCUGCGUUUGCAGCGUUUGGGGAAGAAGGAGAAGGGAUGGGUUUGGGCUGGAGCGGGUAAGGGAGAAAUGGGCUGGAUCGGGGGAUUUAGAAGGAGGGACGUUUGGGCCUGGGGGGAAUGGAUUAUAGGAUUUGGGCCGCUCAUUCUUUGGGCCUGGGGCGGCUGGAAAUUGAGGGGAAAAGGGGUUGGAAGAGGGAUUAGGUGGGCCUGGAAAUUAGGAAUAGGGUGAGGGGUCCAAAUUUGGCUCUUCUAAAUUAAAUGGCCAAAAGAAUCCAUUUUAAAAUAAUAGCCAAUUGAUUUAAAAUGAAUUCGGUAUAAAUUUAUUAACGAGCCUAUUUAAAGUAAACUAGUUUGAUAGAAUACAUUCUAAACUUAAGAUAUACAUAUAUACAUAUACAUAUACAUAUAUAUAUAUAUAUAUAUAUAUAUAUAUUUUACUCAUAAAAUAUACAAACUAUAUAUACAAUUACGUAAUAUAUAUAUACUUACCUAACGUUAUGAUAAAUAGCAUAAGCUCCGUAUAUUAUAUAUAUUUUUUACUUAUAUAUAUAUAUAUAUAUAUAUAUAUAUAUAUAUAUGCAUAUAUAUAUAUAUAUAUAUAUAUGUAUACAUAUAUAUACAUAUAUAUAUACUUUUUUUUUGAAUUUUCACAAGAUUUAUAAAACUAAUUAACUUAAAUAAUUUGAAAAACUCACGAAGCUCGAUAAUUAAUUUAUACCGAUGUGGGUCAAAAUUGGGUGUCAACAACCAAAAAGUAAUCUAUCAGUAUAAAAUAGUGUCAAUAAUUCGUUUAUUUUGGAUUAGAGGGAGUAAUCCACUCAUAUGUUGUUAGCUUUAUCGUUUCAUGUAGAGAAACAGUCACCAAACACGAUUAAUGUGUGCCUAAAAUAAUGUUUUAUAGACCAUAUCAAUAAUAACAUAUUUAACUUAGGAAAACAGUCUCAAAACAUGAUUUAUUUGUGUGCUACAAAUAAAGUUUUACUAUAUCAACAUCAAAAUAUUUAAUGCAGGAGAAUAGUCACAAAACAUGAUUUGCAUAAUUCAACAAUAGGAAAAAGACAGAAAAUAGGGCUAAUUAGUGAAGAGAUUAACAAAAAGUAGAUGGUGACUCUUUCUUUUGAUCACAUCAAGUUAAUUGGCGUUAAUUAAUUACUUAAUUAUGACUAUUAUCACUAUACCUUUGAAAAAAAUUGAUAAUUCAUUUCAUUUUUAUAAAAAAAUAUUAUAUUCAAUAGAAGAAAAACAUGGCUAGUACAACUUUCACUAUAUUUGUUGGAUCCAUUAUUGACUCUCUAGGGUCGUGUAAGUCCCCGUUAAUCUGCACUAGAAUCUAGUAAGUGAUUAGUAAUUUGCUCUAGAUUGAUUUAGACAGAAUUACUACUUACAUAUGAAACAUUAAAUGUAAACAUUAAUUUUCUUUCUUGUAAACAGAUAAAAAAUUAUAACUUACAUAUGGUUUUAUUGUUUGCAUUUCCUUGCUGAGAGAAGUCCCAAAAGCAUUUUUUAACUUAAAAGAAAUAGAUACAAUUAACUAUGCUUAGUCGAAUCAUAUAUAGUGAGCACUAAUAUCUAACUUUAGAUAUGCCAACAAUAAAAUUCAGCCACAUAAAUAAAGACAGAGGGAGUAACAAUUAUUAAUUAUCUUAGUUGGUAGGCAUGUUUUAUUAGUAAUUACGGAUAUAUCCUUUAUUCCCUUCAAUUAGGUACAAUAAUCCCUAUCAAUAAUAGGCCGGAAUGGUGGGGAAGGAGGCCCUCCCUACUUCAAUGGAAAGGGGGGAAUCGUCAUUUCACAGCCGCUCCUCUCCUUACAGUCAAGUGACUUUCACUCCCAAGAAGUCGGAAUAGGAGUCAAUCGAUGACAGAAAAAAUUGCCUAAUGUAUGAUCUCUUCUGGAAAGAGUUCUAUCUCCCUAGGUUUGAAUUCCUCCAGGAGAUAACCAACCAUCUUCCCUUUAAGAUAGGGGUUAGGGAGGUGAAAUUGAAGUGGGGGUCCUUCUACAAGGGAGUUUUGCUCCAAGGGCUAUGGAUCGGGGCGAGGGUCGAAGCGGGCGAGUUGGUUUGUGAGGGUAUACAUGUGCGAGCAUGCUAUUCAUGAAAGUCUUACCUAUAGAGUAAGUAGGGCCGGACUGGGACUGCUUUAAAGGAGAGAUUCCUCUUUUAGCCAUCGGUCGACUUACUCCCAAUCCUGCGAAACAGAAGUCCUAUACCACGUCUGAAGAUAGAAAUGCUCUCGUAGGAUCUUUUACUUCAAUAGUAGAUAUCAGGCCUUUCAACAAGUUAGUUCACGAAUUCUCCUAUUUCAAUAAGAGACGUGUUUGGGCCCGCUUUGAAGACAGCCAGGAAGUACUAGCACAAGAUCCAGUAUUUGAAAAGGUUCUAUACCCAUAAGGGUUCCAAGCUUCAACCCACUGCUCGAGCAACUUGCUUAUAUAUUGACUUUUCUUGAAAGGGUUCUUUUCAAAUGAAAGAAUUCAUUACAGCGGUUCCGGAAAGACAGAUUAGACUUGCCCCACCCAGGCAUAAGCAGGAAGAAGACUGUCGAAUUUCAAUACACAGAGAGAGUAUCUCUUGAAAAGCUUCUAAGAAAGCCAGCCUAAUAAAAUGGGGACUUGCUUAACAGCGAAAGAAGGAAAUUUGGUUAAAAUGGGGGCUGCUUUCUCGCACUUCCCAAUCUACGUUCAAGCACACCAAUUCCAGCGGAAUUUGAAUUCUAAAGGGGUCGAAGACGGAACAGAAGAGGCUGGCUGAUACGAUCAGGUAGGGCUAACUCAAUGGAAUUCAUAACCCUUUCAAUCUUCUCCUUAUUUCCUUGGUCGGGCAGCAGUGUUCUCACUUCCAGGAAGAGCCACAUCAGGGAGGAUGGUUGCUGAAAGAAAAAUUCAAUAAAAGCAUGAUAGCGGAAUGAGUUAGAGCUAUGUUCAACUGGGUAAACCCGCGCAAACAAAAAUUCUUUCUGAUUCGGGAUGAUAAUCGCAAUGGCGAGGGUCUGUUACCUACCAUAAGUAGGGACUCACAGAAGACUGUAAACUACUUUUAAAGGAAAGACAAAAGAAAUUGUGAACCUAAGCCAAGAGCCCACUUCAGAUUCAUAACAUCUUCCACCCUCUGAAUCAAAGAUUUACUCACUGCCAACAAAAACAUACUAUAUUUACUAGUUUAAAUCGAUUCACUAAGCUAGUUAAAAGCCUUAUUAGGCAAUUCCACCAGUGUGUAAUACAUUUGUUUGAAGAAAGCCUCCACUUCAAUUGGUAUUUUUUCACGAAAAGCAGACAUGAGAUAAGAAAUCCAGUGUUUCACUAAGAUUUCGAAUAGCGGUCCCGAAUUCAAGUUGAUUUUAUUUAGACUCUUCCUCAGAGAAAGACGAUCAAACAAUUCUCAAUCAUGGUCCUUGCGGAUCGGAUCAUCCAUAUAAUAUACAAAAAGAAACUCCAGAUAUUUGAGAUCUUUCUCUUUGAAUAAGAUCUCAAUUCCAGCGACGGUUUCAUUAGAUUAUCUUACAACUAGAAACCCUCUUCCGAUCCAGUUCCUCCACCAACGCGAAUCCCAGUUAGAUUCAGGCAUGCUACACUUUUUAGUUAUUGGGAGAACCCAAGUACUCUCUUUCGGAUUCAGGAAACAACUCUCAGAGAUCUUUUUUCCUUUGGGAAGAUACAGGAGCGAAACAAUCAACCUAUUGAUAUUGGAAGACCCAACGGAUUCUUCCACUGUAUCAUUUCUGGGUCCAACGGAAUUCAUAGGUAUAGGAAGAAGCCCUAUCCAAUAGAGAUUUUUUCUUUCGACCAUAUUUCGAUUGUUAAUACGAUAUAUAAGGACCGCUACUACGAAAAGUAUUACACCCUUGAUCGUGAAAGUAGGAUACUCCAAAUUCGGGGGUCAAAAGAGUUUUAGAAAACAUUAAUUAUGCUUAGUACCCGAUUUAUAUAUACAGGGGGAUCAAAAUGAAAAUAAACUUAUAAUACAUGGACUAAAAUUGUUAUUUCCCCUAAAUAGAUAUAUAUGUGAAUAAGAAAAUUGUUGCUAGAGGACAAAUAUAUUAAUAACAAUAAUUAAUUAAAUAUGCCAUUGUGGAAAAGUUAAGGAAGCGUAAGUAACUAGUCAAACUAAUUACACUAACAAGCACAUCUUUUUCUUAUUGGCUAUAUAAAAACGUUUUAGUAACUAUGUUUUUUUUAAUCACUCGUUUGGCUAUAAAUAGGUCAAGGAGGAUAGACACUCCUCAACCCAAACAAAAGAAAAUAAAAGGAAGGUAAAAAGAAUCCAUAAUAUGGCUGUUCAUAAACAAGUUAGUUUCCUUGCUUACCUACUACUUGUUCUUGGUAAGAUUUCCCUUUCUCUAAUUUUCUUAUCUUUAGUUUCUUUGUUGUGGCAUAAACUACAAGUGUUAGUAUUUUUUUUCAUUGUUGUGGCAUAAACUACAAGUGUUAGUAUGUUUUUUUCAUUGUUGUGGCAUAAACUACAAGUGUUAGUAUGUUUUUUUCAUUGUUGUGGCUUAAACUACAAGUGUUAGUAUGUUUUUUUCAUUUUUGUGGCAUAAACUACAAGUGUUAGUAUGUUUUUUUCAUUGUUGUGGCAUAAACUACAAGUGUUAGUAUGUUUUUUUCAUUUCACAGCUUUCUCCUUGUUAUAUUUGUUUGUAGGAUUAUUGCUACUUGUAAGCGCGGUGGAACAUGUUGAUGUCAAGCCUUGUACUAAAGAAUGUGGUCAUCUUGGGUUUGGGAUAUGCCCACGUUCACAAGGAAGUCCGCAAAAUCCCAUAUGCACCAAUUGUUGUUCAGGUUUUAAAGGUUGCAAUUAUUAUAGUGCUGAUGGGACUUUUAUUUGUGAAGGACAAUCUGACCCAAAAAAACCAAGAGCUUGCCACUUAAAUUGUGAUCCACAUAUUGCCUAUUCAAAGUGUCCCCGUUCAGGAGGAAAGACGUUUAUUUAUCCCACUGGAUGUACCACGUGUUGCACGGGAUACAAAGGUUGCUACUAUUUCGGUAAAAAUGGCAAGUUUGUUUGUGAAGGAGAGAGUGAUGAACCCAAGGUAUGUACGUACCCUGGAAUGUGACCCUAGAGUUGCAUACAUGAUUUGUCCAUCUUCUGGAUUGACCAAACUUAAUCAUGUUUGUGUUAAUUGUUGCACUGCAGGAGAGGGUUGCAAACUCUAUGGAUAUGAUGGAUCUUUAAUUUGUACUGGGGAGCCUCAGAGCUAUAUAUCUACAGCAUAAGGCAUGAUGCAUUAAUAAUAUGUGUUGUACUUUUUAAUUUAUAAUGUAUGAAAUAAAAGGAUGCACACAUGUACAAUGACAUGCUAAUCAUUAUAAUGUGGGCAUCAAAGUUGUGUGCU